GGGUAAAAAGAUGGAAGGAAAAUCAAAACCGAACGUGGUAUCAUAUCCCGUGUUCCAUGCAUCGACGAUACAUCGAUUCGAUACAUCAAUAAGAAGGGAAGCGAUGCGGAAGAAGUUUUAGCGCGCGUCAUUUUUCCAGGAUCGAAGAGGCUAGAUCUCCUACGAUCUUCGUCGAUUACGUCGAAAGAAAGUCGCGAGAGCAGAAAGAUCCAUAAAUCGCUGCGACAGCGGCGCGACUCGCAGGCCGGACAGGCAUAGAGAGCCAGACAGUCGCCAGGCAGACGGACACCAGACGGAGACGACGGAUCCUGGUCGGACACGGGAUGAUCCGGGACGAACGAGAGAUUUUCGAGAGAGAUUAGAAGUUGGAGCGAUGCUUCUGGAGUUCGGGACCGAUCCCCCUCGGAACCGGCCCUGUCGAUGUCGAUACGCCACGCUUCAUCCCCCGCGGAUAAUCGUUCUUGCACGGCCGGAUAAAACCGGACGCACGGCUACCGAAUCCAUCGAUCGGGCAAUCUCCAACGAUCGAUCGCUGAAAAAAAAAGAAAAUCGAUAUCGAGUCGAUCUGUCGAAAGACCGAACGAAUAAUUCCCUUGCCAAACAAUUUACAAUCAACCUUCUCGAUCGUCUUUUCUCCCUCGUAUAAAAUCAAAUUCCCUCUCGCUCCCUCUCCCCCCCAAAACUAUCCCACUUUUCCAUUAACCUUCUCCUUAACACAAGUUGGUGUGACUCGUACGAUUUUCCCCAGAUCCAGUUCGUGCGCGACACAGAAGUCUGUGGAAGCGGGCUAAGGAUUCACUUUCUCGGCCCUCGGAGUCGGGGGAAAUAAAUGAUGAGCUUGACAGGUCCGCUCGUAACGGAGGAGGAGGAAGGAGGGACGAAAGAGGAGAAGGAAGGCGAGAAGGAAGGUGAGAUCGGGACGAGGCGGGCUUCGAACGAGGAGAGCCAGAUAUCCUCCCCCUUCCCUCCGCCAUCCCUCUUCCCAUCUCGAAACAAAUUAUCAACGCAUCAAAUAUAACUUAGCUCGGCUACCGUAUUCUUAAGCCGUCCCUCCCCUCCUAUCCCCGGCUUCUCCGAGGCCGUCUUUAUUAUUUCUUAUUUACUCGUCUGGUUUUAUUGGCGGGAACCAGAGCCCUCUUCUCGGCCCGCCACUUUUAAUUGGCCGUUCGUACGUGCCACCGAUGAUUCGGUGCUUCAACGAGUUUACACGCGACUCGAUCGUUAACGACAUCCUUUCCGCUAUCUCGUUCGAACGGAUAUCUACAACGAACAGUUCUCUUUCUCCUUCUCCCUCUCCGUCUUCUUCUUCUUCUUUUAUCUUUUAUCUUUCUUUUUUUCUCUCUCUCUCUAUAGCAAGAUCGAUCGCAAGAAUAUUCUAUUAGCCUCUGACCCUAAAAAAACUAUUCAAGAAAGUCUUCCUAGAAGUCUCGUCUUCUGAUGCACGUUGCUCGUUUAACCGAUGGCCGCGAUCGUUCCAUCCUAGGUAUACGAUCCUAGGUAUACCUUCCACCGCAUCAGUAUUCCAGUCCCAUUUCUCGUUAACGAAUGCUUAUCCAGCAGCGAUUUUAUUUAUAACGCGCGGCCGCCAUCGAGGCGACCCUGAUCUUUGAGCGACAAUGAAAAUUACCGCGUACAACUUGCGAUUCCUUGCUUCGUUUUCCCGUGCAAACGUCCAACAGAUUUAUUCGACGCGCGUUGGACGCGGAAAUUAGCCGGCAACUCUUCUCUCGAUCCUCCACCCUUUAAUAAACCUCGAUCCCGUUUAUCGACGACCGCUCCAGGCAAACAGAUAUGGAACGGAUCGAGUCGUCCUCGUCCACGAAUUCCCAUUCGUGGCGCACAACAACGGCACCGUUAUUUACACCUCUUCCAACUCCGAGCGGAUCGACAGUCGACAAACGCGCUCCUCCUCGAGGAUGACAAUUAAAUUUCCCUCGAGUCGGAAAAAUUAUUCAUCGAUCAAGAUCUCGAAGAUCUCUUGAACGUGUCUUUCUUCCCUCCCCUCCAUCUGCCAUCGAAGAGGCAUCGUGGAAAGAUCUUUCGACCGGAGUUGCACGACUCGAGACGGCGAUUUCCGCGCCAAUAAAAACCUCGCUCGCGCAUAAUUUAGCGCUCUGUAGGGUAAUACAACCCCACCCAGAGCGGAACCACCGUGCUGCUGCAUGCAACCCCGCGCCGAGAAACGCGGGCGAGGAGCAACGAUAAACGUUAACUCUCUGGAUACUGGAACGAUGCCAGCCGUGCCUUCGUUCAUAAAUCCGCGCACGUCCCGCGCCACUACUCAGUCACCGAAUGCAAUCGUGAUUUCGCCUCUCUGGAAAAAAAAGGCACAACUUCUCGCUCGGAGUUGAACUUGGAGUCAUACUUGGUGUUCCAGGUGACGUGGAGAGGUUUUACACAAGUUUAGAGAAGAGAUUAGGUGGUUGGAAUCGGAGAAAGUUUCGGGCAAAGAUUCGGCAGGGAAACGGAAGAGGGGUGGGUUUGGGUCUUUUUGGAGAUAUUUCGGGCGAGAGAAAGGAAGGAAGGGAGAACGGGUGCUGGGAGAAUGAUGGAUUAGCAGGCGGAUUUAGGGAGAAGAUUGUAGGGGGGGAGGGACGAGGGAAAGUUUUGCUAUUCGUCGUCGUGGCUGAGGAAUGAGAUUAUAUUUGGGGAUUAGGGUUAACGUGGAGUUAUUAACUUUGAUAUGUAGCUUAUUUGUAGUGUGCGCUAUUGUGAAUUGCCAAGAUCAUUUGCAAUCUGGAAUACGACGGAUAUUGAAUCGAAGGGUUAGGAUCUUCGAGAAUGAUAGUAGCAGGUUGACAAUUCUCUUUUUAUUGUCAUUCAAAGAACCGAUUUUAUUAUGAAAAUUCGUUGAGUCGUUCUAUUUAUGUAUUAUCCUACGAGAAUAAUCUAAUCGACUUAAUUAAGAAACACGAGGAACUCUUAGAAAAAGAAAAGCUGUGACAUCGAUCAGUCAAACGAUUCUCAAAAAUUCUCAUCUCCAUAUUCCCACCAAUCUCGAGAAAAAAAAAAAGAAAUCGAUCUUAGAAAGACAGCAACGUGCAGAACGCCGAGAAAAGAAAAUCAAGAUGAGAGGACUCUCCAAGGGAUAUUUGGCAAACGAUGUCAAGAGCAAGAGACGCAGAGCGGUGCAAAAGGAAAUUUUCCAGUGGAAAUCUUGCUCCACUCUUGGCAGCCGACCUUUACGAGAUUCUUGCAGCGCGCGAGGUUAAUGGCGCAGGAAAGGCGCUAUAGUCGCCGGCGUCUCCGGCCUCUUUCACGAAGUGGAUUACAAGUUCGACGGACACGUUUGGUCGGAACGAAAGCGUGGGCCACGUUUGGCCAACGUCCAAACCCGUAUCGCGACGGAGACCUCCUUAUCUGAGAGACGAGAAGCGUUAUCGUGGCUCGGUUCGAAAAGUUUGCUUUGCGACACGCCUUCCACGGAAUCGUAUUAGCUUGUCGGGCAAGGCCGAGGUGACGAUCGUUUCCGAUCCAUAUGUCGCGUUAUUGCGGCCUGUUGUCUAACUGUGCAUGGAAUAUUAAAAGUCCUGUCCCCUGCGUUAGAGCUGCCUUAGAGACGCACGAGACGCAUCCUUCGUGGAAGGAUUAAACAAGCGACGGCCAUGAACGCUCGACGAACGAGAUAUUGCGUCUCCCGUCUCUGAACACGUUACACGUUCGUUGCUCGAGUGUCGGUCGAAACUCGACGAACAAUUCGAUCCGUGAUAGAACGAUUGUGAUGAGAUAUUUUGAAACUAAUGCGAGGAUUUUUUUAUCCAGAAUUGUAUUGGAUAAGUUUGGGGAGCGAAAGAUUCUUGGAAUAUUAUUUCGAUAGACGAAUAAAUUUAUAAAGAAUCUAUCAUCGAAAGUAAUAGGAAGGGACAAGAUUUGGAAAAGAGAAUUUUUCGUAUUAUAAUUUUACAUUCUGACGUUGUAGCACAUAUUAUGUAUUGUGAACACGGCCAAUAUUAAUUUUACGUUAAAUUUAAUUUGUGAUAAAACAUUUGCAUAUAUCAUUGAGAUGAUAAAUUCGUUCGCUUUUUAUUUUACCUCAAAACCAUUCGAAUCAAAAUUUUCGAACGUAAAUACAACGAUAACGCCGAAAGUUUUGUAUCGUAACAAGAGGAUCUUUUCGCUCGACCACCACAUGGAGUUCCGGUUCUUACGCAAUCCGCGCGUGUAGUUUCGCAUGCAUAAGUCGCUGUGCUCGAACCAGCGCGUGAGAAGGGGGGGAAAGAGGGAAAGGAGGACGGAGGAAGGAAGGAAAGAAAGAAAGAAUCGCAUGCACGCACGCGUAUCGACGCCAGAAAAGUUUUAAUGACGACGGCCCUUCCCCAUUAUGCACGCGAUAGUCGCGCUUUUUUCCCCCCCUCGCCCCCCCUUACCGAUGCUCCUCAAAUAGAGGGACGCGCAAGAAAAACGAUCGAGCUUCUUCGUCGUCCCCGCUCGACAGAGAUCUUCCCCCACGUUUCUAUUCUCGGACGAAAAAUCGAGGAAACAGGGCUACGUUUCUCGGGAUCGCACUCGUGCAUUUCGAAACGAUUAGAACUCGAGAGAGAGUUUCGGCUCAAUCAUUGAUAUCUUGUUCUUUUUUUUUUUUUUUUUAAUUCAGAAAUCAAAUUUUAAUCAAAUUUUCCUACCGAUAAUCGAUCAAUGCCACCGCAAAAUACUCGCGGUCCAUCGACUCUACCCCCUUCCCUUUCCUCCCCCGCAAAGCGAAUCUCCGCAACCCCGCAUCGUAAACAAAACAAUCGAGCCUCGACCAAACCGCAAUUCGAUCGUUCCGCGUCAUGGUCGGUGAAUCGUGCGACAAUAUUUGUCCUGGCGCGAAAUCCCUGUUCGGGGGAGAGAGGAGAGAGAAGCGUAAUUUUAAUCGCGGCCUCGUUUUAUCAUCCAACGAAGUCUAAUGCCCAACAAUGAUCUAAUUGGUCGAUCGAUUGGACAAACCGUUGCUAAUCCGGCCGCGUAAUCUCCUUUUCUUCCGCAAAAAAAAAACGCUUUGCGCCCCUCCCUACCUCCCUCCCUCCCUUUUGCUCGCUCUCGCGAUAAAAAUCGCGUCGCGUCGCGUGCGCGUUUUUUUUUUUUACGAUUUCCACGUUCGCCAAGUUCGAAAAAACACGCUCGAUUCGCGGGAGGGGUGGCCGCCCUCCAAAUUCCCCGGAACUGUAUUCCACGACGUAAUUGUAGAAUAGAAAGGAGGAAGGGAGAGGCGGAAAAAAAAAGAAGGCAAGGAUUGCCGGCGGACGGGAAAAAAAAGGCAAAGAGAAGGGAAAAACGAGAGGGGCGAAGCGAUAUCGUCCUCGAUCACGAUACUCUAGCCAGACGUGCCAUCUGAUAUCCGUCGAUCGCGAUAAACAGCGGGCGAACGAAACGAGAUCGAAUCUCGGAUAUCGCGCGAUUUAAUGGCAAUUACCGGGCGGGCGUAGCCGACAAAUUGGAACAAAUACGGGCGGGCCGAGAGAAGGUGUGCGCGCGUGGAAGGUGGAAGGUGGGCCGUAAUUAUGGUGCACCGAGGGAGGGAAGGGAGAAGGGCCUUGAAAUUUUUCGAUACCCACCGGUGCCACCGGUAACUCUGGUUUCUGGAUCCCACCCUCCCCUCCCCUCUCCCCCCCGGGAACGCGAGACUAGGUCAAGUGUACGCGACUCGACCGCACGAAGGACAAGUCGUACUUGUCCCGCGGCCGACCGCCGACUUACGACUUGCCGCGUUACGACGGCCACGAAAGUAAAAGCCGAGCGGGCGAACGGGCCACCGAUCAUCUCUCGCGACGCGCACCGCCGCCGCCUCCUUCGAGACACCUUUCUCGGGGCACACGGUCGGUCCCUCCCCUUGGUCGUGCGGGACAGGUUCUUGGCAAGGCUCGCGAUCGCGAUACCGGUCCUCGGAUGGAUGAAAUAUCGAGGUGAACUCGUUGAACGUCGAUUCCGUCGGGUUUGAUAAAGUUAUGUAAAUGGAGGAGAGAUGGGGAAGCGCAUUUCUGCAUCGUACGAGAAGAUUUUUUUGUCAGAAUUGUACCGAUCGAUUUCUGGAUAGAAUCAAGAUAGGUGUUGUUCCUUAAUUGUGAUUCCUUAUCUCAGAGGGCAAUAUUUCGAGUACAAUGCAUUUUUAAAAAUCGUUUGGAUUGAUCGAUGGAUCAUUGUGGUUGGUAGAUUGAAAAUGGGAUCGAGAAUUUGAAUAAUUAGUUCACGCCAUACGAUGUAUUUUAUUAUAUAUAUACGAUAAUCUCACGUUGUUACGUCAGAAUGAAAAGAAGUUUUAUACGUGGUGUAUAUAUACGUGUAUAGUUGAUGCUGAGUUAUUCUCGAUGACACUGCAUAAAAGAAAUCUUUUCUCGAAAGAUUCCAAGUAGCACUUGAGACGUAGGCAAGUGGACAAUGGACUGGAAUAUGGUGAAUACAAGGAAGAAGUUUGUCGCAUUUACGUAUGUUCUCUACGUCCAACGGAAUCAAUUAUUCAGCGUGCGUAAACCGUCUCCCACGAAGGUUUCAAUUACACGACGAUUCGUAACGAUAUUACACUUAACGUUGGCGACCAGAACAAAUGCCAGACUGAUCUUUUACGAGGACAAGGAGAGCGACGCAACGACGAUCGAACGGCAUCGUGACUCGAUUCGAUCGCGUUUAACAGGUCUAAUGAACACUUAGCGUUUAACAUAAAACAACAAACGACUCGUGCCUAGAUUAGACAAGCAACCUAUACGGCAAAUUGCGUUCCCUUCUGUCUCCCUCCUUCUGCACUUCUGAUCUUUUGUUUACACGGUCUAAUGCGAUCGGAAUGCGAAACUUUUCCAUAUCCGUUGCCAAAAGUUUUUUACUGCACGAUUUAUUUUUUUUUACCAUCGCGGUUUUUUAAAUCUCUCCAGACUCGAGGAUCGAUUAUAUAUUGUAAAAUUCGUCCGAUUCGAUAUUUUUCGGAAACGAAUUGACAAAAAAUAUUAAUAAUAGAAUGUAUAUAUAUGGAACGAAAAAUUUAUUAAAUAUAAAACAAAUUUUAGCUGGAAGAUAGACGAAUAUUAAAUAAUCUAAUUAGAAUUUAAUAAAGUGCAAUUAUUCGAGUAGAAUUAAUAUCUAUUCCGAAGAAACCGGACGAUUUAUCUCUCGAUGAAGUUGAUUAAUUCGUCUUCUGCGUGAUUUCUGAUCUUUCGACUCGCGAUUUCGAAGAGGGAGGGGGGAAAAAAAUUGAGAGAUUUCAAAUUCAGAUCAAUGUUCAGCAUCGAACCGGAGUUCUUCUAUUCAGAAUGGAACACGUCGAGGUAUCGAAACCUCGGAGGCAGUUAAUUAAGAUUAGCUCAAUUAUACGCGUUUAACCCACUUUCGCCUUGGUUGCGCAAAAUCGUUCAACGAUCUGAAACACUGCGACAGAUGCUAAUAACGAUUUCCACCGGUUUUAUAAUAAGAGCAGCCUGCAAAAACCGACGACCGGCUUCGCCGCACACGAACGCUCUCGCGUACUCUGCCUAAUGAGCCGCAAUUAAUCUCACAAUUCGAACGUAUGUAUUUAUUAAACAACCUCGGUGACGAUCUCGACGAGGAAUCAUUCGUGGCUACGAUGACUCAUCAUCGUGACUUUUAUUCCUUUAACGAUCCAUCUUAUUAACAAUCCGUUUCCAACCCUUUAUGUAUCUCCGAGCAAUAUUUAUUUAACCAUCGUAGGGAUUAUUUUAAUUUCUUCUGUGCCCAUUGAAACGGAAUUAUUUCAUUUAUUGAAAUGGAACGGAACGUUUGUUUGUCUAUAUCUACGCAAAAGGAGGAGUAGCCAAGGAUAGAAAUAUCAUUCAAAAGAAAUAAUUUGAACAAGUGGUAAACAAAUGGAAGAAUUAAUAUAUCUUUUCAGAUAUGUCGUUCCAAUAAUUAUAAUCAAUCCCCGCAACAUUUGAUUCAACGCGAAACUUGACGUUUAAUAUCGAGCCACUCGUGGCUGAAUUCGCAUCGCAAUUUUCAAAUGCUGCCACUCGUUGACUGGAGAAAAAAAAAAAGAAGAAGAUGGCCACGAAAGAGUUAA
This is a long non-coding RNA of Apis cerana (Asiatic honeybee), 7984 nucleotides long. RefSeq lists it as uncharacterized. The record is from RefSeq and is a predicted model, not a curated record. NCBI's taxonomy places the organism in Eukaryota, Metazoa, Arthropoda, Insecta, Hymenoptera, Apidae.